RNAcentral lists this long non-coding RNA (2078 nucleotides) under Salvia miltiorrhiza (redroot sage). RNAcentral describes it as "long non-coding RNA (SMIL_LNC000801)". Lineage: Eukaryota; Viridiplantae; Streptophyta; Magnoliopsida; Lamiales; Lamiaceae. The record is from RNAcentral.
CCAGGUCACACAGAUGCAAAUGGUCCAAAGGGAAAACUCCUUUUUCUGGUGGCACUGGUCUUGCUCCUCUAUUUCCACCAAAUGCACCUCCUAUGGCAACAAAGAUCAUCAAUAAUGGAAACUACAUUCUUUUAACAACACUUACCAUUUGAGGCAUUCAUAUCGAGCAAUAAAACUAAUGGAAGAACAACACAAUCUAGUCAUAUGCCAAGACUAAAAUCCCACAGUUAUUGAUCAAGCACAAAAGUUUCUAUGCGAGUUUCAGUUUGGUUGCAUUGGAUAUUGGGAUUUGAUCCACCAACUAAGAAAAAAAAUCCGGGGAGAUGAGCGACAAAUGAAUAUCGAAAGCUAAAUCCUAUCAAUAAUAAGCCCUAAUCUUAUGCUCAUUCUACAUGAACAAGUAGUUGAGGUAACAAUUCACCAAACAUUAACAGAAAAAUUACAAUUUCAAGUAAGCCUUGAAAAUGGGGAAAAUAAGACUUACCUGCACUCAUUGUUUUUCACCGAGGAAUACUCGUCGAUAAACCCUCUUUGUCUAUUUCUUCAGUUCUUUUGGAAGAUAUUCUCUCGUAUGAGUUUUCAAUUCUCAGGCUUUAAAAACGGCUCUGAUAGUCGGAGAUAAGGCGUUUAAUCGGCAAAAUCAACCGCCGAUUAAUCGGAAAUUUGAAAUUGAAACAGAGAUGAAUUAGGAAGGAAACAGAUUUAUCUUUCACAGAUUAAAUAUUUGGGCCGGGAAUUAGAGCCCAGUCGUUCGUGCUCAUUAUGCUUUUAUUUGGCCCAUGUCUAUGGAUAAUUGUAAAAGUAAAAUCUAUAGUAGUAUUUGCGUAUAUGAAAUGUUAUUAAUGCACAUAUUACUACUGAUAUUAUAUUCCCUACGAAAUACUCGUACUAUUUUUUUGAGAGCCUUGUUCCUUUUUAUCUGAAAAUGUACUUCAAUUAUAUCAUUCUAUUUUGUAUAGAGUAAUUUUGAUCUACAAAUUGAUAAUAUGUAUGUUUUUUUUUUAUAAAUUAUUUUAAGAAAGCUCAAAUAAUUUUAUGAUUACUUUUAAACUCAAAUUUAUAAAAACUACAAAUAUAUAAUCCGAACUUAUAUACUUAUAUAGUUAAGUUUACAGGCCGAGUCAAAAUUUCGUUCAAUUAAAUAGUAAGAUACGAUGUUUAUGUAUAUAAUUUUGCUUAUUCAAAAUUAGGGGUAGUAACCGGUCCGAUUCGGUUAUAUCUGAAUCGAUUUUCUGAUUAAUCAAAACCAGUUAAUAGUGAAAAAAAAUUAUAACAAAAACUCGAACCGAUUUUCGGUUCAGUUAAUCGAUUAAUUACAAGGCAGAGCAGAUCAAUCAAAAACGCCAAUUAAUUCGGUUAAUAGGUUAAUCAAUUAACUCGAGGCAGAUAAAAAAUUUCCCAAAAAAUCGACUUUUAAUGGUAGGAAUAGGUGAUAAUCCAUAUGAUUGAUGAGAUCAUGCAAAGGAAAAUGGUGAUAAUCCAAUUGAGUGAAAAGUGGAUGCUGGUGGGAUUAUGGGCGGUACAAUUAAGAGUGAUAAUUGUCCAGAAUUAUUAAACUAAUUGCAACAAGGGAAGAAACAUAUACAAAAAAGGGCAAAUUUUGAAAAAUAUAAAAAACACAUAGAAACAGAACACUAAAGUAGUUACUGUGCACAAGCUUGCUGCAUUUAUAAUAAACACCAGUCAAUGAGAUCUCUUCUCUAAUUCAUUUAAAUUAUCAUGACUUUCAGUUAUAUUAUUGACGGAGUAAUCAGAAAUGAUGUCUCAGAAUUUUCAGUAAGAAAGUUCAAACAACAGAACACAGGUUCCCAGCGGCCACAACCACGAGUUAAAAAACAGGGACUUGAAAAAUAAUUACCAAAAUCAGUGUUGAAGAAGGAGGCGGAGAAGGUCGUAGUGCUCGGGGAAGGAGAAAAAGUCGAAAGAGGCAGAAGAAGAAUCUUUCAAAUAACGACACAAAACUCGAGCUGCUGAGGCGCGGAAAAAAACUGGGAAGAGGUGCCGGCGCUAUAUUCGCUGGAAGCCCUCAACCCUCGCAGACUCGUAGGCGGCAGAAGCUUUAUUCGCUGGAACUGGAA